This 1152-nucleotide long non-coding RNA is filed under the name Volvox carteri. Its description in RNAcentral is "long non-coding RNA (VCAR_LNC002227)". The record is from RNAcentral. Lineage: Eukaryota; Viridiplantae; Chlorophyta; Chlorophyceae; Chlamydomonadales; Volvocaceae.
GGUUCGGAUGUCACUUGUGGUGCAUGUGCAAUAUUUCAUACGCAGAUCACGCAUAUAUACAGCAUAACAUCUACUUCACGUUAAGUGGCGCCAACCCGGCCCCUCUCGUUACCAGCUCGCGCCCGAACUGUCAUUUCAAACUAUGAAUUCCCAUCCUGCACCGGGUUUGAACUCCGAAAUUCUCAUUGCGGCUAGAUGAAGAGGCAGGCCACCUCAAAGCCAGCUCGGCCCUCUUCUCCCGCUCCCCCACUGCACCAGCUUCACUACUCCACCCAAACUGCACCAGCUUCACUACUCCACCCAAACGAGGGAUAAUCCAAUGGGAGUUUCUCUCACAUCACCUAACCAUCACCUUAAUGCUAUCAUGCACCAGGGAACCGUCCGGAUAAACAGCAACAAAUUCCAUGUAUUGUCACAAGGGCAAAGAAGUCACCGACUGAGGCUAGCUAAAAAAAGGCCGUGCUGGGUCUACAGCAUUCCACAUCGUGUAUUUAAACAGUUCCGUCGUAUACAGCAUCCUUCAAGGAUUGUUGAAGAAACCCGUCGUUAACAGCAGCUGCUCUACCUCAGCAGCCGAACUACAUGCUUCCAGUUCCGGCCCCAAUCGCCGUGUGGCACCAGAGUGACUCCAAGCCAGUAACGUAGGGACCCCAGUCAGACGGAGCUUUGGAUCCACCCUGUGUACGGCAGCGGCACAAGAAGCGCCCCGCGAGGAUGCGAGGGACCCGGGCGGAUAGGGCCAAGGGGGGAAUGAAAGGAAUACGGAGGAGGACGAGAUACGGAAGGGCAACGAAGGCGUGCUUUUCAAAUGUUCCGUCUCCCUAGCUAAAGGAGUACGGCAGCACGUUACAGCACGUAAAUGGACGCGCCGUUAACGAAUAAACGGGUCAUCGUGGAAAGAGCGCAUUUCUCACAAAGAGCGAAACCACAGACGACGCGCGGCUCCAAAGGUUCAAGGAAAUGCAGUGGGCGAUGCAUGGUCAGGUGCAGCAAACAAACAACCUAUUGAGUAGAGCUGAAAUGUUGAACUUCGGAACUUGGCAGAAACUUGGGGGAGCCCUAAGCGCCACAGGCCGCCCCUGCGCCUUGCCGUACCGUACGGCACGACCGAGGAGCUGAACAGGCCAGACUCUGCCGCCUGCAUCGCCGUAC